RNAcentral lists this ribosomal RNA (882 nucleotides) under uncultured bacterium. RNAcentral describes it as "bacterial SSU rRNA". It matches the Rfam family "Bacterial small subunit ribosomal RNA", at positions 8 to 915 of the family's 1533-position model. The record is from RNAcentral.
AGAGUUUGAUCCUGGCUCAGGACGAACGCUGGCGGCGUGCCUAACACAUGCAAGUCGAGCGGGGAACUUCGGUUCUCAGCGGCGGACGGGUGAGUAACACGUGGGUAACCUGCCUUGUAGAGGGGGAUAGCCUUCCGAAAGGAAGAUUAAUACCGCAUAACAUUAUGCUUUCGCAUGAGAGUAUAAUCAAAGGAGCAAUCCGCUACAAGAUGGACCCGCGGCGCAUUAGCUAGUUGGUGAGGUAACGGCUCACCAAGGCGACGAUGCGUAGCCGGCCUGAGAGGGUGAACGGCCACAUUGGAACUGAGACACGGUCCAGACUCCUACGGGAGGCAGCAGUGGGGAAUAUUGCACAAUGGGCGAAAGCCUGAUGCAGCAACGCCGCGUGAGUGAUGAAGGCCUUCGGGUUGUAAAGCUCUGUCUUCUGGGACGAUAAUGACGGUACCAGAGGAGGAAGCCACGGCUAACUACGUGCCAGCAGCCGCGGUAAUACGUAGGUGGCAAGCGUUGUCCGGAUUUACUGGGCGUAAAGGAUGCGUAGGCGGAUGCUUAAGUCAGAUGUGAAAAUCCCGAGCUUAACUUGGGAACUGCAUUUGAAACUGGGUAUCUAGAGUGCGGGAGAGGAGAGUGGAAUUCCUAGUGUAGCGGUGAAAUGCGUAGAGAUUAGGAAGAACACCAGUGGCGAAGGCGACUCUCUGGACCGUAACUGACGCUGAGGCAUGAAAGCGUGGGGAGCAAACAGGAUUAGAUACCCUGGUAGUCCACGCCGUAAACCAUGAAUACUAUGUGUGGGAGUUGUCAUGACUUCCGUGCCGCAGUUAACACAAUAAGUAUUCCGCCUGGGGAGUACGGUCGCAAGAUUAAAACUCAAAGGAAUUGACG